Molecule: ribosomal RNA, 423 nt
Filed under: uncultured bacterium
Lineage: Bacteria
Description: bacterial SSU rRNA
Rfam family: Bacterial small subunit ribosomal RNA
Source: RNAcentral
GGAAUAUUGGACAAUGGGCGCAAGCCUGAUCCAGCAAUACCGCGUGUGUGAAGAAGGCCUUCGGGUUGUAAAGCACUUUCAGUGGGGAGGAAGGCUUAGUGGUUAAUAACCACUAGGAUUGACGUUACCCACAGAAGAAGCACCGGCUAACUCUGUUCCAGCAGCCGCGGUAAUACAGAGGGUGCGAGCGUUAAUCGGAAUUACUGGGCGUAAAGGGGGCGUAGGUGGUUUGAUAAGUCAGAUGUGAAAGCCCCGGGCUUAACCUGGGAACGGCAUUUGAAACUAUUAGGCUAGAGUGCGGUAGAGGGAAGUGGAAUUGCCGGUGUAGCGGUGAAAUGCGUAGAUAUCGGAAGGAACAUCAGUGGCGAAGGCGACUUCCUGGACCAUAACUGACACUGAGGCACGAAAGCGUGGGGAGCAAAC